This 388-nucleotide ribosomal RNA is filed under the name uncultured bacterium. RNAcentral's name for it is "bacterial SSU rRNA". It matches the Rfam family "Bacterial small subunit ribosomal RNA", at positions 28 to 417 of the family's 1533-position model. The record is from RNAcentral.
GACGAACGCUGGCGGCGUGCUUAACACAUGCAAGUCGAGCGGUAAGGCCCUUUCGGGGGUACACGAGCGGCGAACGGGUGAGUAACACGUGGGUGACCUGCCCUUAGCUCUGGGAUAAGCCUGGGAAACUGGGUCUAAUACCGGAUAUGACUCCAUGACGCAUGUUGUGGGGUGGAAAGCCUUGUGCGGCUAGGGAUGGGCCCGCGGCCUAUCAGCUUGUUGGUGGGGUGAUGGCCUACCAAGGCGACGACGGGUAGCCGGCCUGAGAGGGCGACCGGCCACACUGGGACUGAGACACGGCCCAGACUCCUACGGGAGGCAGCAGUGGGGAAUAUUGCACAAUGGGCGGAAGCCUGAUGCAGCGACGCCGCGUGAGGGAUGACGGCCU